RNAcentral lists this ribosomal RNA (468 nucleotides) under uncultured bacterium. Its description in RNAcentral is "partial 16S ribosomal RNA". It matches the Rfam family "Bacterial small subunit ribosomal RNA", at positions 28 to 507 of the family's 1533-position model. The record is from RNAcentral.
GACGAACGCUGGCGGCGUGCUUAACACAUGCAAGUCGAACGGAAAGGCCCUGCUUUUGUGGGGUGCUCGAGUGGCGAACGGGUGAGUAACACGUGAGAAACCUGCCCUUGACUUUGGGAUAACUUCAGGAAACUGGGGCUAAUACCGGAUAAGAGCUCCUGCUGCAUGGUGGGGGUUGGAAAGUUUCGGCGGUUGGGGAUGGACUCGCGGCUUAUCAGCUUGUUGGUGGGGUAGUGGCUUACCAAGGCUUUGACGGGUAGCCGGCCUGAGAGGGUGACCGGCCACAUUGGGACUGAGAUACGGCCCAGACUCCUACGGGAGGCAGCAGUGGGGAAUAUUGCACAAUGGGCGGAAGCCUGAUGCAGCAACGCCGCGUGCGGGAUGACGGCCUUCGGGUUGUAAACCGCUUUCGCCUGUGACGAAGCGUGAGUGACGGUAAUGGGUAAAGAAGCACCGGCUAACUACGUG